CUACCCAUGAGCAGGAUGAAGCGAAAGUAAAAUUUCGUGGAGGUCCGAACCCACGAGCGUUGAAAAGCUCGGGGAUGACUUGUGGGUAGCGGUGAAAUUCCAAUCGAGCCCGGAGAUAGCUGGUUCUCCCCGAAAUAGCUUUAGGGCUAGCCUCAAGGUGAGAGAUACGGAGGUAGAGCACUGAAUGUCCUAGGGGGUAUUGCACCUACCGAAGACUAUCAAACUCCGAAUGCCGUCAUCUUAUACUUGGGAGUCAGACUGUGGGUGAUAAGAUUCAUAGUCGAAAGGGCAACAGCCCAGAUCGUCAGCUAAGGUCCCUAAAUGUAAGUUAAGUGGUAAAGGAUGUGGGAUUGCACAGACAACCAGGAUGUUGGCUUAGAAGCAGCCACUCAUUCAAAGAGUGCGUAAUAGCUCACUGGUCGAGUGAUCCUGCGCCGAAGAUUUCCGGGGCUAAAACUUACUACCGAAGCUACGGCAUCAGUAAUGAUGGGUAGGGGAGCUUCCCAUACGGGUUGAAGCAUGACCGUAAGGACAUGUGGACAGUAUGGGAGUGAGAAUGUUGGCAUGAGUAGCGAGAUGUGGGUGAGAAUCCCACAGGCCGUAAACCCAAGGUUUCCAGGGGAAGGUUCGUCCGCCCUGGGUUAGUCGGGACCUAAGCUGAGGCCGAAAGGCGUAGGUGAUGGACAACAGGUUGA
RNAcentral lists this ribosomal RNA (695 nucleotides) under Clostridioides difficile. RNAcentral's name for it is "partial 23S ribosomal RNA". It matches the Rfam family "Bacterial large subunit ribosomal RNA", at positions 730 to 1433 of the family's 2925-position model. The record is from RNAcentral. Lineage: Bacteria; Bacillati; Bacillota; Clostridia; Peptostreptococcales; Peptostreptococcaceae.